Scylla paramamosain (green mud crab) is the source of this 3853-nucleotide long non-coding RNA. RefSeq lists it as uncharacterized. NCBI's taxonomy places the organism in Eukaryota, Metazoa, Arthropoda, Malacostraca, Decapoda, Portunidae. The record is from RefSeq and is a predicted model, not a curated record. The transcript is spliced from 2 exons.
UGCCCGUGACUUCAUACAACAGAAAUUGUCAGGCAUUGACCCUCAAGUACUCAGAGUAUAUUCCUAUUAAGCUGGAAGAAUUGCUCUUUUUCACAGAAGUAAAAAACAGAUCACACCUGUGUUUAAGUUAAUAAUAUAAUUAUUAAUGAAGACUAGCAUCAAGUCCCAAGGACAGUUAUUUUGAACUAAAAAAAAAAUGAAAUAAGUGCAAUGACGGGAAAAGAAAAGUUAGGAGACCUAUGUGGAAAUGUUAGAUGUGAGGCAAAGGAUGGACGGGACGUGGAUUGUUGAAUGUUGAAGAUUCACUAAGAAAGUCAGUCAAUGCUUUGAUGUUUCUAGGUUUGUGACUGUCAAUAAUGAUUAGGGUCUAGGGCGACGUAUGUUAGCUUCUCCGGUAGUACAAUAUUAUAUAUUAUCUAAUAUUAACGCCACAUCAAAUUAAAACUAUAAGUACAGUACGACUAUUAACUCAUUAAGAGAAACUAACACUACGUGUGAUGUGUAAAUCUGAAAAGAAAAAAAAAAGAAUUGGGAGAAAAUUUUUGGAUUUGAAGAUUCUUGCUGGCAAUUGUCACCAACUCGACGUCAUAGAGAGCGUGACGUCAUAGCUGAAUUGAUGACUUCACUGAACAAUACUUAUGUCUUUCAUCCUUGGUGUUCGAUGGGACAUUGUUUUUUGCACAUGGGUUCCGCGAUGUUCGAGAUUCGUGAGUGACUCAGCUUGCCAGUAGAAGGCGAUAAAGGCACAUGUGUAAAAUUCCAUAUGCAUACCUGUGUGAGGCCAUUUCUUUUUCUUUCAUAUUUGUCAGUACUAAUGAUGAUUGUGUGAAGUAUAUAUUGUUGCAGAGAACAGCCUCGUGGCGAGUAAAUCUGAGAACAGCGAGAGAGAAGAAAGAAUAGAGAUAAAGAACGAAGAACGAAGCGGAAAGGAGAGAAGAAACGGGAGAAGAUUCUAGUCCGGUGCGCCCGGUGGCCGUCAAUUCUGUAGCUUAGUAAAAUUCUUUAUUUAAUUUCUUACCUUCUCGCUAUCUUAGCAUUGUAAAACCAAUACCCAAAAAAUUACAAAAAACUAAGGUUUAUAAUGAAAUAUAUAAAUUCUACCUGAUCCUUUCAGUAAGUGUUAGCAAGCUGAUAAUCUGAAAUAUUCUUUCGCCGUUUGUAUACUUGUGAAGGCUGGUGGCGCAUUUGUCCUGCCCGAUCACCCCGUUCUCCCUUCCAUCCUCAUCUCCUCUUGAAGACGAAGAGACGCCAACGCGUCUGCUUCCUAUUAAUUACAAUGUGUGCUUUUGAGAAAGUCAGACGCGUGUGUAAGCCAGUGUGCGAAAGUGCGGUGUAUUUGCGGGAAUAUUAAGCUAGUGUUGAAUAUGUAUGAUAUGUUUUCCCUUGGACAGCAGUGGGAACAUCACGCCGCAUAGCCAGUUGCUGUACGCUUAGCCGGAGUGGGGGCAGGUAUCACGGCACCUCCUGUGUUUCUCUGCCCUUGGACUCGAUCAAGCGGUGGUCACAGCUUGCAAGCAACCCUACACUGCGCAGUGAAGUCAAGAAUCUACGCAACUCAACAAUAACAUCGCGCAACAAGCCCAGAUGCGGAAUAACGCCCACGAGGAGGACGCCGGCUUUCACACACGGGAAUCACGACGCCGCACCCGCAAGAACGAACCGGGCAUCACAAGGCAUGCCCCAGGCCUUCAUGCCAGUCCUUAGCCAUGCUCAGGCUGCACUGUCGGCCCAGCAGGAUGCCAUACAGUCACUUCAAGCUGACCUGGUGGCACUCGGGGUGCCUUAUAACACUGGAACAGCCACCCAGCGGACGCCGAGUCCGACCGCACCAGGAAAGUGUUUUAGAGAUAUCUGCCGCCUUUAGAUCUUGAAAAAUAUCUAUGGAAUGUUGGUUACGAUUGUGCAAGCUUCUCGCCCAGGAUGUCGUUCCCCACAUUCGGCUACACUGCUCACCUGCCCUGCAGCGGGCAUUGGACUCAAGGCAUUUUGACGUGUGGUGUAUCAUGCUGCUGCUUUAGAUGCCAUCCAUCGCUAAAAUUGUGCUCCGUUCAGUUAACCAGGCCGUGCCGUGGGCAGGUUUUUCUUUUUCUUUUUUAUAGUGGUGCAAGGCCCCGACGAGUCAGUGAGUGCUUACUUCGCUAGAUGUCCGCAUAAGGCUGCUGAUUGGGCAUUCCAGUGUCCCCAAUGUGAGCUCAGCCUAUCAGAGUAUAUGUUGUUAAGGAAAUUGAUGGCUUCAAUGACGAGUCACUGAAAAGGCACGUCUACCAAUCAUGUGAUACAAUAAGUGUCGAUGCAUUGCGUGUCGUGUGCUUUACCUACGAAGCUGCGUGUCGGGACGCUGCCAGUAAAGGCCGGUUCACACGAUCAUGCUGCAUGACAGGCAGCAUGAAACAACUGCAUGAAGCGGAUGCAUGAUUAGAAAGAAUGAUCGUGUGAACCCCGUUUUUGGCAUGACAUGCAGCAUGAACACGCGGCAUGACGUAUGAAGGGAAAUCCUGUGAGCAAGGGGCGGAGCUGGCAUGGCCUGAUGUAUGGCAUGACCGAGUGAACGUCAGUCAUGCAAAUUGCGUCAUUCUUGCCAGUAUUUGUGAACAGUACACAAGCUCUUAUCUUUGAUUAAUAUAGUUGUUUUCUAGUUUUUCAGUUCAAUGGAUAAGCAAAACGAAAAAGAUAAUACAUUAGAAUUUAUUUCCAUGUAUAGAAAUCAUGAAUGUUUGUGGAGAGUGCAAUGUAAGGAUUAUAGUAACAAAAACAAAAGGAAUAGUGCCUUAGAUGCGUUACUUGACAUAUACAGAAAACUAGUCCCUGGAGCAUCAAAGGCAGAUGUACUUAGAAAAAUAAACACUCUGAGGAGUAGUUUCAGAAGAGAAUUGAAGAAAAUUAAUGAUUCAAAAAAAUCUGGCUCUGGUACAGAUGAAUUAUACACACCAUCUCUGUACUAUUUUGACGAACUAAGGUUUGUUGCGGACCAAGAUGUUCCUCGCCAAAGUACAAGCACUUUAGAGGAAGAUGGAAAUACAAUGAAAACAACAGACCUUGUAUCGCAAGACACUGAACCAGGUCAUGCUGACGACUUGGAUACUGAUGUUACCUCGCCACAAAGCAGCACAUCAGUUCAAACACCAACUCCGAACAAAAGACCGAGACCCACAAAGAAAAAUGAUGUGACGCAUGACAUCCUACAGAGAGUGGCCGAAAACUUGCAACGUCCAGAGUCGUCAAUGAGUAUUUUUGGUAAAUAUGUGGGUUCAAAACUGGACGAGUUCGACCCUAAAACAAGUAGGGUAGCACGUCGCUUAAUUAAUGAGGUUCUAGACGCUGCAGAAGGAGGAGAGCUUAGUAGCAAUGUAAGCCUAAACUUUAAUAAUGUAACAUUUAAGCCUUCAGAUAUUGUUUAAAUUGUUUCAAACCAAGUUACGUCACCUCAUGUUAUGAUACAAUCCCAACGAUACUCCAAUUACAAUGAUGCCCCCCAAAUCCGAGGGUCAACAUCCAUUAGUGAACCUCCCCUUACCCCAAAUGUAGGCAAUGAUCCACAAAAUUUAGGUUAUUUCGCGAAUUUCACUCCUCUUUGAAGAUGUUUUUCAGAAAAGACUUGUUUCAUUUGUAUUUAUGAUGAUAUACAUGUCCGUGCUUAAAGGAUAUUUUUCUAAAAGUAGCUUUGCAGAUUUAUUAUGUUUUUGCAUCAUGUACUUAUUUACAUCAAUAAUGUAAAGUGAAGGAACUCAAUUUGGUUAUUUUUGAAGGAUACUUUUCUAAAAGUAGCAUUGCAGAUUUAUUAUGUUUUUGCAACAUGUACUUAUUUACAUAAAUAAUGUAUAUUAAAUGAAGUAAAUUAUGUUUUUGGUUAAAA